AACUGCGAAUGGAUCAUUAUAUAAGUUAUCGGUUAUUUGAUAGCACCUUUAUACUCGGAUAACUGUGGUAAUUCUAGAGCUAAUACGUGCUGAAAAUCCCGACUUCGGAAGGGUUGUAUUUAUUAGAUUCAAAACCAACGCCCUUCGGGGCUUUCUGGUGAUUCAUGAUAACUGCUCGAAUCGCAUGGCCUUGCGCCGGCGAUGGUUCAUUCAAAUUUCUUCCCUAUCAACUUUCGAUGCGAGGGUCUUGUCCUCGCAUGGUUACAACGGGUAACGGAGGGUUAGGGCUCGACCCCGGAGAAGGAGCNUGAGAAACGGCUACUACAUCCAAGGAAGGCAGCAGGCGCGCAAAUUACCCAAUCCCGACACGGGGAGGUAGUGACAAUAAAUACUGAUACAGGGCUCUUUUGGGUCUUGUAAUCGGAAUGAGUACUAUUUAAAUCCCAUAACGAGGAACAAUUGGAGGGCAAGUCUGGUGCCAGCAGCCGCGGUAAUUCCAGCUCCAAUAGCGUAUAUUAAAGUUGUUGUGGUUAAAAAGCUCGUAGUUGAAGCUUGGGCCUGGCCUGGCAGUCCCCCUCACCGGGUGCACUGGNNNNGCCGGGUCUUUCCCNCUGUGGANCCCCAUGCCCUUCACUGGUCGUGNCGGGAAUACAGGACUUUUACUUUGAAAAAAUUAGAGUGCUCCAGGCAGGCCUAUGCUCGAAUACAUUAGCAUGGAAUAAUGGAAUAGGACGCGUGGUUCUAUUUUGUUGGUUUCUAGGACCGCCGUAAUGAUUAAUAGGGACAGUCGGGGGCGUCAGUAUUCAGUUGUCAGAGGUGAAAUUCUUGGAUCUACUGAAGACUAACUACUGCGAAAGCAUUCGCCAAGGAUGUUUUCAUUGAUAAGGAACGAAAGUUAGGGGAUCGAAGACGAUCAGAUACCGUCGUAGUCUUAACUAUAAACUAUGCCGACUAGGGAUCGGACGGUGUUUUUCAUGACCCGUUCGGCACCUUUCGAGAAAUCAAAGU
RNAcentral lists this ribosomal RNA (1008 nucleotides) under Lignincola laevis. Its description in RNAcentral is "SSU rRNA". It matches the Rfam family "Eukaryotic small subunit ribosomal RNA", at positions 85 to 1104 of the family's 1831-position model. Lineage: Eukaryota; Fungi; Ascomycota; Sordariomycetes; Microascales; Halosphaeriaceae. The record is from RNAcentral.